RNAcentral lists this ribosomal RNA (253 nucleotides) under uncultured bacterium. RNAcentral's name for it is "partial 16S ribosomal RNA". It matches the Rfam family "Bacterial small subunit ribosomal RNA", at positions 524 to 776 of the family's 1533-position model. The record is from RNAcentral.
UACGUAGGGGGCGAGCGUUGUCCGGAAUCAUUGGGCGUAAAGCGCGUGUAGGCGGCCCGGUAAGUCCGCUGUGAAAGUCCAGGGCUCAACCCUGGGAUGCCGGUGGAUACUGUCGGGCUAGAGUCCGGAAGAGGAGAAUGGAAUUCCUGGUGUAGCGGUGAAAUGCGCAGAUAUCAGGAAGAACACCCGUGGCGAAGGCGGUUCUCUGGGACGGUACUGACGCUGAGACGCGAAAGCGUGGGGAGCGAACAGG